GACGAACGCUGGCGGCGUGCUUAACACAUGCAAGUCGAACGGAGAACGCCGUAGCUUGCUCCUUCCGGGUCAGUGGCGAACGUGUGAGUAACACGACAGCCAUCUGCCCCGAACUCUGCGAUAAGCGACUGAAACGACUACUAAUACCGGAUACGUCCCGGGUGGUCGUCCUCUCCGCGUGGAAAGAACUUCGGUUCGGGAUGAGCCCGCGGCGUAUCAGCUUGUUGGUGAGGUUACGGCUCACCAAGGCGACGACGGGUAGCCGGCCUGAGAGGGUGACCGGCCACACUGGGACUGGGACACGGCCCAGACUCCUACGGGGGGCAGCAGUGGGGAAUAUUGCACAAUGGGCGCAAGCCUGAUGCAGCAACGCCGCGUGGGGGACGACGGCCUUCGGGUUGUAAACCUCUUUUAGCAGGGAAGAAGCGAAAGUGACGGUACCUGCAGAAGAAGCACCGGCUAACUACGUG
This 470-nucleotide ribosomal RNA is filed under the name uncultured bacterium. RNAcentral describes it as "partial 16S ribosomal RNA". It matches the Rfam family "Bacterial small subunit ribosomal RNA", at positions 28 to 507 of the family's 1533-position model. The record is from RNAcentral.